Molecule: RNA transcript, 459 nt
Organism: Octodon degus (degu)
Lineage: Eukaryota; Metazoa; Chordata; Mammalia; Rodentia; Octodontidae
Gene name: small nuclear ribonucleoprotein E pseudogene
Exons: 1
Source: RefSeq, a predicted model, not a curated record
GCGUGGUGGCUGGCGUUGUCUUUGUCGGGCUCCGCCAUGGCGUACUGGGGUCAGGGCCAGAAAGUCCAGAAGGUGAUGGUGCAGCCCAUCAGCCUCAUCUUCAGAUACUUGCAGAAUAGAUCCCAGAUCCAGGUGUGGCUGUAUGAGCAAGUGAAUAUGCGGAUAGAGGGCUGUAUUACUGGUUUUGACGAGUACAUGAACCUUGUAUUAGAUGAUGCAGAAGAAAUUCAUUCUAAAACAAAGUCAAGAAAACAGCUGGGUCGGAUCAUGCUCAAAGGAGAUAACAUUACUCUGCUACAAAGUGUCUCCAACUAGAAAUGAUCAAUGAAUUCAAACAGGGAAGUGAGGCAGUGGCAAUUAUGAUGAUAUGUAAAAAGGCAAUUAUUUAAGUGGUUUGCCCUGGAAGUGUUUGUAAAACAUUUGUUCAUAUUGUUUUGACUACUCUUAUGUUUUUACUGA